CCCCCAUCUGAUCAGUUGGUAUGUGGGGGGCAGUGGCUGAAAGGGGCAUAAAUGUGGGCUGGACAGUGGUCAAGGGAGCAACCUGGGGGGAACAACCUGGGAAAAGAACCUGGGAGGAGCACCUGAGGACUGGAUCAGAAGUGACCGGGCAGGAUGUGAGACAGACGAGAGAGAAGAGGCCAUGGCUAGAGAAAAGGAACGAGACCACUAUGUUCUUUGUUUAUCGGCAAGAGAGAAAGAAAACAAGGUGGUUACAUUCACAAAGGGAACUGCUGGGCCAUUGAUGGCAAAGCAAGCCGUGAUUCAGGAUACUACAGAAUGAAUUUAUGAAACAUGACACGGACUGUAU
Xenopus tropicalis (tropical clawed frog) is the source of this 349-nucleotide long non-coding RNA. RefSeq lists it as uncharacterized. Lineage: Eukaryota; Metazoa; Chordata; Amphibia; Anura; Pipidae. The record is from RefSeq and is a predicted model, not a curated record. The transcript is spliced from 3 exons.